Molecule: ribosomal RNA, 846 nt
Filed under: Staphylococcus aureus
Lineage: Bacteria; Bacillati; Bacillota; Bacilli; Caryophanales; Staphylococcaceae
Description: partial 23S ribosomal RNA
Rfam family: Bacterial large subunit ribosomal RNA
Source: RNAcentral
ACCCGAAACCAGGUGAUCUACCCUUGGUCAGGUUGAAGUUCAGGUAACACUGAAUGGAGGACCGAACCGACUUACGUUGAAAAGUGAGCGGAUGAACUGAGGGUAGCGGAGAAAUUCCAAUCGAACCUGGAGAUAGCUGGUUCUCUCCGAAAUAGCUUUAGGGCUAGCCUCAAGUGAUGAUUAUUGGAGGUAGAGCACUGUUUGGACGAGGGGCCCCUCUCGGGUUACCGAAUUCAGACAAACUCCGAAUGCCAAUUAAUUUAACUUGGGAGUCAGAACAUGGGUGAUAAGGUCCGUGUUCGAAAGGGAAACAGCCCAGACCACCAGCUAAGGUCCCAAAAUAUAUGUUAAGUGGAAAAGGAUGUGGCGUUGCCCAGACAACUAGGAUGUUGGCUUAGAAGCAGCCAUCAUUUAAAGAGUGCGUAAUAGCUCACUAGUCGAGUGACACUGCGCCGAAAAUGUACCGGGGCUAAACAUAUUACCGAAGCUGUGGAUUGUCCUUUGGACAAUGGUAGGAGAGCGUUCUAAGGGCGUUGAAGCAUGAUCGUAAGGACAUGUGGAGCGCUUAGAAGUGAGAAUGCCGGUGUGAGUAGCGAAAGACGGGUGAGAAUCCCGUCCACCGAUUGACUAAGGUUUCCAGAGGAAGGCUCGUCCGCUCUGGGUUAGUCGGGUCCUAAGCUGAGGCCGACAGGCGUAGGCGAUGGAUAACAGGUUGAUAUUCCUGUACCACCUAUAAUCGUUUUAAUCGAUGGGGGGACGCAGUAGGAUAGGCGAAGCGUGCGAUUGGAUUGCACGUCUAAGCAGUAAGGCUGAGUAUUAGGCAAAUCCGGUACUCGUUAAGGCUGA